RNAcentral lists this transfer RNA (88 nucleotides) under Chloroflexota bacterium. RNAcentral's name for it is "Chloroflexi bacterium tRNA-Leu". It matches the Rfam family "tRNA". Rfam says of the family: Transfer RNA (tRNA) molecules are approximately 80 nucleotides in length. Their secondary structure includes four short double-helical elements and three loops (D, anti-codon, and T loops). Further hydrogen bonds mediate the characteristic L-shaped molecular structure. tRNAs have two regions of fundamental functional importance: the anti-codon, which is responsible for specific mRNA codon recognition, and the 3' end, to which the tRNAs corresponding amino acid is attached (by aminoacyl-tRNA synthetases). tRNAs cope with the degeneracy of the genetic code in two manners: having more than one tRNA (with a specific anti-codon) for a particular amino acid; and 'wobble' base-pairing, i.e. permitting non-standard base-pairing at the 3rd anti-codon position. The record is from RNAcentral. RNAcentral also lists the same sequence under 1 other name. Lineage: Bacteria; Bacillati; Chloroflexota.
GCCCAGGUGGCGAAAUGGCAGACGCGGCGGACUUAAAAUCCGUUACUCUUUAUCGAGUGUGUGGGUUCGACUCCCUCCCUGGGCACCA